This 112-nucleotide non-coding RNA is filed under the name Antarctobacter albus. Its description in RNAcentral is "Antarctobacter sp. JLT354-W TPP riboswitch aptamer (THI element)". It matches the Rfam family "TPP riboswitch aptamer (THI element)". From Rfam's summary of the family: Vitamin B(1) in its active form thiamin pyrophosphate (TPP) is an essential coenzyme that is synthesised by coupling of pyrimidine and thiazole moieties in bacteria. The previously detected thiamin-regulatory element, thi box was extended, resulting in a new, highly conserved RNA secondary structure, the THI element, which is widely distributed in eubacteria and also occurs in some archaea. Lineage: Bacteria; Pseudomonadati; Pseudomonadota; Alphaproteobacteria; Rhodobacterales; Roseobacteraceae. RNAcentral also lists the same sequence under 1 other name. The record is from Rfam by way of RNAcentral.
CGGCCUACCUCGGGGUGGCGGCGCAUGAGCCGUCUGAGAUUUCCGUACCACGGAUCAACCCGUUGAACCUGAACCGGUUAACACCGGCGGAGGGAAGGUAUGGGCCCGAUGA